GAUGAAGAACGCAGCGAAAUGCGAUAAGUAAUGUGAAUUGCAGAACUCAGUGAAUCAUCGAAUCUUUGAACGCACAUUGCGCCCGCCAGUAUUCUGGCGGGCAUGCCUGUUCGAGCGUCAUUACAACCCUCAGGCCCCCGGGCCUGGCGUUGGGGAUCGGCGGAGCCCCCCGUGGGCACACGCCGUCCCCCAAAUGCAGUGGCGGUCCCGCCGCAGCUUCCAUCGCGUAGUAGCUAACACCUCGCGACUGGAGAGCGGCGCGGCCACGCCGUAAAACACCCAACUCUUCUGAAGUUGACCUCGAAUCAGGUAGGAAUACCCGCUGAACUUAAGCAUAUCAAUAAGCGGAGGA
RNAcentral lists this unclassified non-coding RNA (352 nucleotides) under soil metagenome. RNAcentral's name for it is "partial contains 5.8S ribosomal RNA, internal transcribed spacer 2, and large subunit ribosomal RNA". The stretch from base 1 to 120 matches the Rfam family "5.8S ribosomal RNA", at positions 35 to 154 of the family's 154-position model. The record is from RNAcentral.